AGUCCUUGAUCGGCUUCGGUCUUCUCCAGAACACUCGAGCACAUACCUUCCAUUAGAACGAUCCAGGUCAACAUUAUAGAUUCCCACCCUCCUUCCUAUGCCUAUACUGCCACUGGGCACGAAACGAAACGAAUAGUGCACAAAGUUGAGGCAGCCCGGUGUGGCCCGAAACAGAUAAGAACAGAUCCAAGUUGUUCUUUGUUUCAGGUCCAGCUAGCCC
Molecule: long non-coding RNA, 220 nt
Filed under: Phoenix dactylifera (date palm)
Lineage: Eukaryota; Viridiplantae; Streptophyta; Magnoliopsida; Arecales; Arecaceae
Description: long non-coding RNA (PDAC_LNC020378)
Source: RNAcentral